RNAcentral lists this ribosomal RNA (465 nucleotides) under uncultured bacterium. Its description in RNAcentral is "partial 16S ribosomal RNA". It matches the Rfam family "Bacterial small subunit ribosomal RNA", at positions 28 to 507 of the family's 1533-position model. The record is from RNAcentral.
GACGAACGCUGGCGGCGUGCUUAACACAUGCAAGUCGAACGGAAAGGCCCCUUUGUGGGUACUCGCUUGGCGAACGGGUGAGUAACACGUGAGUAACCUGCCCUUCACUUCGGUAUAACUUCAGUCAACUGGGUCUAAUACCUGAUAGGAAUCCUUUCUGCAUGGUUGGGGUUGGAAAGCUUCGGGGGUUUUGGAUGGACUCGCGGCUUAUCUGCUUGGUGGUUGGGUAGUGGGUUACCAAGGCUUUGACGGGCAGGCGGCCUGAGAGGGCGAACGGCCACAAUGGGGAUGGGGAACGGCCCAGAAUCCUACGGGAAGGAGGAGUGGGGAAUAAUGCACAAUGGGGGGAAGGCUGAAGGAGCAAAGGCGCGGGCGGGAAGACGGGCUUCGGGGUGUAAACCGCUUUCAGCAGGGGAGGAGCUGGUAGUGACGGUACCGGCAGAAGAAGCACCGGCUAACUACGUG